UUACAUUUGGCAUUUCAUUUGAGGCGGGCUACGUAAAACAAAUGAACAACAAAAUUGUAUAAAAAUUUUCUAUAGUCUACUCGUUGCAUACUUAAAGGCACAUAAAAAGGCAAGGUAAAAGAAAAUCCUCAAGCACGGAAAAAGGCAAAGACAACGCGAUGCCAAGUGCAUGAAAAUAGAAUAAAACACAAAAUGCAUUUCCCCAAAACUGAAAGCUGAGUGCACGCCAGGAGCUGUGGGGAGUGGAGCAGUGGUAGAGAAGGAGUCUUUAGCUGGCACCUAGAAAAUCAAGAGCGUUAUUUAGGAUGGUGCAGUGAAAUUUAAAGCCUUCAAAUGAAUUUAAUGAGCAACUCAAAGGAGAAUAAUAAAAAAUUUAACAGUUGCUUAACAUAACAUCGGAGUGUUAGAAUUCAUAGAAAACUUAUGUUAUUCAAUUAAUAUGUUUACUUGAAUAUUCUUAUGUUCUAAUCAUCAUCAACUGGGGAACAGCAAGAGAAAACAUACAUAUUAGUAACAUCAAUCUUUAAAUAAAUGCUGUAAACAAAAUGCCUCACAGGAAAAUAAAUGUUAAUGUUGU
This is a non-coding RNA of Drosophila virilis, 577 nucleotides long. Lineage: Eukaryota; Metazoa; Arthropoda; Insecta; Diptera; Drosophilidae. The record is from RefSeq and is a predicted model, not a curated record.